Molecule: unclassified non-coding RNA, 471 nt
Filed under: Hevea brasiliensis (rubber tree)
Lineage: Eukaryota; Viridiplantae; Streptophyta; Magnoliopsida; Malpighiales; Euphorbiaceae
Source: RNAcentral
UGUAUGCCCUUUAAUUUUCUUAUUCACUACCGAUGUGGGGCUUGUUCCCACAAGUGAUACUCCAAUAAUAUUAAAAUAAAAUACAAAACAGUGUCACUCAUGAUUCAAUCUGUUAAACACAUUGUAAAUUCCAAAAGGUUUUAGAAUGAAGUGGUGACGAGGUGGGCUGGUCCCUCUGACUUUUGACAGGGAACUCGUUAACUGAAACUUCCUUAACCAGAUUAAAGCUCAUUUCUAAAUAAUCAGAACAUGCACUACGAUAUGAUGUGCAGGUGGCCAACGUGGGAUAAACAUGUGCAUUCAUCAGUAGGAUGUAUAUAAACUGUGAAACACCAGUCCUAUACCAAACAGAUAAUCCAGAUUACCCAUACCAACGAGGCUUUAGAUAACUGCCCAUGUACUUGUGUAUGCCACCCAAUAAUCCCAAUACAGGUUAUCACAUUUUCUCCUUCUAUUUUCUUUUUGGCUAAG